Long non-coding RNA from Panthera uncia (snow leopard), 1802 nucleotides. RefSeq lists it as uncharacterized. The transcript has 2 exons. The record is from RefSeq and is a predicted model, not a curated record. NCBI's taxonomy places the organism in Eukaryota, Metazoa, Chordata, Mammalia, Carnivora, Felidae.
GGGAGCGGGAUUCGGGCGAGAGCCAGUGGUGGAGUCCGCCCGCUGUCGCCUGCGUAAGCGGGGCAGCGACGCCGGGCGGCUACGCCGCGGAACCGGCGUAGGCGGCUUUGGAGAAUCGGCGGGCUGCGCUGCGCCCGGGCUGGUCGCGGAGGGGGGAGGGGAUGUCGGUCAGUGCGAGAUCCGCUGCUGCUGAGGAGAGGAGCGUCAACAGCAGCACCAUGGUGGUAAAGAGGAUUUCUCUCUCCUUACCCACCAAUCUGGAAGUAAAAAUGUACUCUCCUGACUCUCCUGAAGAGGUCACAUGUUUAAUCUCUUCUGUUUACCUCUGGGGCCACAACUGAGUUCAUUUGAGAGGCAAGGCUCCAGGUCAGAAUUUCACAUUGGCACUGUUGUAAUUUAGAGUUUUAUACUUCUUUGUUUGGGGGACUGUCCUGUGCAUUGUACAGUGUUUACCAGCAUCCCUGUGCACUGCCCACUAGAUGCCAAUACCAGUUCCCCAGUUGUGACCAAAAAAUGUUGCAGACCUUGCCAAAUGUCACAGGGUAGGGGGGGAGAAUGACCCCAGAUUGAGAACCACUGAAUGAGGUUGAUGGAGAAGCCAUUGAGGGAUUAUAGGAGAUGGAGAAGGAAGAAGUCUUUCUUAGCUAUCUAGUCCAUAAUUAUUCCUUGUAGAGCUUUCACCAUAGGAAUUAUGAUCUUACAUUAGGGAUCAGAAUCACCUAGGGUGAGGGUCAGCCACAGCCCCUUGUUAAAAAUGCACGGACACCUGAGUGACUCAGUUGGUUGGGUGUCUUCGGCUCAGGUCGUGAUCUCACAGUUUGUGAAUUUGAGCCCCACAUUGGGCCCUGUGCUGACAGCUUAGAGCGUGGAGCCUGCUUCUGAUUCUGUGUCUCCCUCUCCCUCUGCCCCUCCCCUGCUUGCGCUCUGUAUCAAAAAUAAAUAAACAUUAAAAAUAAAUUUAUAAAAAAAAUGCAGAUUGACUGGUUCCCACCACAGACCCAGUGAUCCACAUCUCUAAGAGGGGCCCAAGAAUCUGCACUUUUAAAUGUUUUCUGAACUAAGUAACUUUAUUGAGGUAUAGGUUUCAUACAAUAAAAUGCACAGAUUUUAAGUGUUCAAUGAAUUUUGGUAAAUAUAUACACCUUGUGGCUUUUAUUCCAGUCAAGAUGAAGAACAUUUGCAUCACCCCAGAGUUUUUCUUUUUCUUAAUGUUUAUUAUUUUUGAGAGCAAGAAAGAGCGUGAGCGGGGAGGGGCAGAGAGAGAGGGAGACACAGAAUCUGAAGCAGGCUUCAAGCUCUGAGCUGUCAGUACAGAGCUUGACAUGGGGCUCAAACUCAUGAACUGCGAGAUCAUGACCUGAGCUGAAGUUGGACACCCAACUGACCGAGCCACCCAGGUGUUCCACCCCAGAGUUUCUUAUGCCCCUGUGCAGUUAUUCUCUACUGCUCGGUGUAAUCACUGAUCUGAUUUCUAAUAUGCAUAGGUGAAUUAAAAAAAUUUUUUUUAAAGAAAUAGCUUUAAUGAGAUAUAAUUCGUAUGCAGUGGAUUCAUUUAAAGUGGUUUUUCUCAGUAUUUUUUUAAAGUCUUUUCCCCCUAACUUUUUUUUUUUUUUUUUUUUUUAACCUUUAUUUAUUUUUGAGACAGAGGGAGACAGAGCAUGAAUGGGGGAGGGUCAGAGAGAGGGAAGACACAGAAUCUGAAACAGGCUCCAGGCUCUGAGCUGUCAGCACAGAGCCCGACGUGGGGCUUGAACUCACGGACUGCGAGAUCACGACCUGAGCCACCCAGGCGCCCCUCCCCC